GAUGAACGCUAGCGGCAGGCUUAACACAUGCAAGUCGAGGGGUAGAGGUUGCUUGCAACCUUGAGACCGGCGCACGGGUGCGUAACGCGUAUGCAACCUACCUUUUACAGAGGGAUAGCCCAGAGAAAUUUGGAUUAAUACCUCAUAGUAUAUAUCUUUCGCAUGUUAGGUAUAUUAAAGUUCCAACGGUAAAAGAUGGGCAUGCGCCCUAUUAGCUAGAUGGUAAGGUAACGGCUUACCAUGGCUACGAUAGGUAGGGGUCCUGAGAGGGAGAUCCCCCACACUGGUACUGAGACACGGACCAGACUCCUACGGGAGGCAGCAGUGAGGAAUAUUGGACAAUGGGCGCAAGCCUGAUCCAGCCAUGCCGCGUGCAGGAAGAAGCAUCUAUGGCGUGUAAACUGCUUUUGUACAGGAAGAAACAUCCCGACGUGUCGGGACUUGACGGUACUGUAAGAAUAAGGAUCGGCUAACUCCGUGCCAGCCGCCGCGGUAA
Molecule: ribosomal RNA, 496 nt
Filed under: uncultured bacterium
Lineage: Bacteria
Description: partial 16S ribosomal RNA
Rfam family: Bacterial small subunit ribosomal RNA
Source: RNAcentral